RNAcentral lists this long non-coding RNA (389 nucleotides) under Trifolium pratense (red clover). RNAcentral's name for it is "long non-coding RNA (TPRA_LNC007439)". Lineage: Eukaryota; Viridiplantae; Streptophyta; Magnoliopsida; Fabales; Fabaceae. The record is from RNAcentral.
CUUGUUAGACGGUUGAUUCGGCCGGCAUACCUGUAACAAAGUUUUGAAGUAAAGGAAACAAUCACACAAUGUAUCGAAGCAAAGUACUUAAAUUAACAUAAAUUCAAACAAGUAUAUCUUUGAUCGCUAGAGAAGAACUUAACUUACUUUCAACGAGUUGAAACCAAAGUUUCGACAUAAUUGUUCAUAGAUAACCAACAUAUUUUUUUGUUAAAUAUAGAUUUCAAUGGUUUUCCAGUUAGCAAAUCAGCGAGAAUAGCUUUAUCGUCUUGUAAGAAUAGCAUAGUACCACGAUUGAGAUAAAGAUUGAAACACGAAAAGAGAUCAUAUUUAAUGUUCAACCGAAGAACGUCAUGGCUGCUGAGUAGAUGGUUUCUGGUCCAAGACUU